AGAGGCAAUGAUGGGCUGUGGAAGGCUUUCAUGGCCAGAAUCACUGGGUUGCUCACUGGGUUGCUGUGAGUUUUCUGGGCAGUAUGGCCAUGUUCCAGAAGCAUUCUCUCCUGACGUUUUGCCCACAUGUAUGGCAGGCAUCUUGAAAGGUUGUGAGGUAUAUUGGAAACUAGGUGAGUGAGGUUUAUAUAUCUGUGGAAGGCCCAGAGUGGGAGAAAGGGUCCCUUUGGGUGAGAAGGGCGGGAUACAAAUGUUGGAAAUGGAAAUAAAAAUAACUCUUGUUUGGGUUGUUGUUUGAGGCAAGUGUGAAUGUUGCAAUUAAUCACCUUGAUUAGCACUGAAAAGCCUCGCAGCUUCAAAGCCUGGCUGAUUCCUACCUGGGGGAGCCCUUUGUUGGGAGGUGUUAGCUGGCCCUGAUUGAUUCCUGUCUGGAAUUCUUCUGUUUUUUUUUCCAGAGGGCUGUUCUUUAUUUACUGUCCUGAUUUUAGAGUUUUUUAAGAAUACCGGUAGCCAAAUUUUGUGCAUUUUCAGGGUUUCCUCCCUUCUGUUGAAAUUGUCCACAUGCUUAUGGAUUUCAAUGGCUUCUCUGUGUACACAUGGUGGUUGUGAGAGUGGUCUAGCAUUUCUGUGUUCUCAAAUAUUAUAUACUGUGUCCAGGUUGGUUCAUCAAGGGCUCUGCUCUGGCUGACUUCUCUAGCUGAGUUAGUCUGCAGUGCCUUACAUGUUCCUUGAGGCAAAGAGUUAAUACCUGGCGAGAGGAAGUGACGCCACAGGAGGGCGGGUUCAAGCUCCAGCCACUCACCUGGAGGAGGCGUGCGCUGCCGGGGCGAUGGCGGCUGCGGUGGACUGCAUUGUGAAACUGGGCGGCGGCGCUUUGACGCACAAGAAGCAGCUGGAGACGCCGAAAUUGGAAGCGCUGCGGAGGGCGGCCGCUCUGGUCGGGAAGCUCUAUGGCGCCGGAGAGAGGCGCUGCAUUGUCGUCCACGGGGCCGGCUCAUUUGGACAUUUCCAGGCAAAACAACAUAAUGUUGCUUCAGGGACCUCAGAAGGAUCAGCUGCAAGUCUCAGUUUAAGACAAGGACUGUGCUUGACCAGGCUUUCUGUCACAAAGCUGAACCAUCUGGUGAUAGAACAUUUGGUAAGCUGUGGAAUUCCAGCCGUGGGCAUUUCGACAUUUGGAACCUGGAAAACAGCAUCCAAGAAUGUCACUCAGGAUGGGAUUGAUGCGGUAAAAGAAGCUUUAGAUGCAGGUUAUGUGCCAGUUUUACAUGGAGAUUGUGCUCUGGAUUCAGAACAACAUUGCUGUGUCUUAUCUGGAGAUACCAUUAUUGAGGUUCUAGCUAAGAAGUUCUCUCCUAGGCGAGUUGUGUUUCUCACAGACGUGAAUGGAAUUUUUAGCUGUCCGCCUGACACACCAGGUGCUAAACUUCUAGAUCACAUUAUUAUUCAUCCUAAUGGAACUAUGGAACCACACAUUCUUACAUCUGUGCUUCCACAUGACACUACUGGAGGUAUAUCUAUGAAGUUACAAGCUUCUAUACACAUAGUUUCUCAGAGCCGUGGAGAUGUUCCCGUUCUCAUCUGCAAGCUGGACAGUGAUGCAGCUGAAAGGGCUUGCCUGACAGGGGAGUUGAUGGAAGGUGAAGGUACAAAGCUUUUCUUCAAGGAAGCAUGAAGGUAUCUCUGCAAGAACAUUAAAUUAAGCAAAAGGCAAGUUUAAUCAAGGUGGUACAAUUUGGAUAUUGUGAUCAUUUGUAGAAUUUCACAUGACAGUCACAGUCAAUUCCAAAUAUCUUGAAUUAUGGAUUCUCUGUUACUCUAUUUACUUUGAAAUGAAUGUGGUGACAUGUAAGCCACCACUAUUAAUUUUUACCAUUUUACAAAUAUUUUUCAAAUAUUCUUUCCAUUCCAUGUGUGCUGUCAAGAGAAGUUUGGAAAGAAGCUGUAAAUUUGUUAAACUACAUAGCUACAAAGCUCUACACAAUUAGAUUCUCUUAAUGCGUACAUUCAUCUCCUUUGAGAAACUUUCCCAUCAAUACUUAAAAAUCAAGACUGAUGUGGGCAGAAUUGGAUAUGGCAUCAUCCUGGGAAUGGAUAACAUUGGUAGAUCUGGAGCUAUCUCCACCUCUCCUGGUUGAAAACCCACUUUGUUUUUCAGCUCCAUGUUUUUAUGUCAAAACAAGACAUGCAAGAUAAAGGAAAGGCUUUCAGGAUAGUGCUUGUCCAUUUCAGAUUUUUAGGAAUGGUUCUGAAGCCUGUAUAAUUAUAGGCAGAGGCAAAGAUGGAUUGUGCUGUUCUGUGAAAGAAAUUUCAGAUUUUGGAAAAGAAAAUGUGAGAAUUAGAUGAGGAAAGUAACAUUGAAUAUCCAGUCUGCCAAUCUGUUUUUGAGUGUACUUAGUGGUGUGCAUAAUUUCAUUUUUUCUUUGUAUUUCAUAUCAAAUUCAUUAAAUUUGUGCAUAUGAAUCGAUAUUGGAAACAUGAAGGAAAAGUGUUUUUUUUUUUAGGGGGUGUGUGUGUUAAGAACUGAAACACUCACCAGUCAUUUGUUAAGAUUCUGUAACAUUUGGAUGCCUCCCAAGGUCAGUUUAGUUUUCAGUUUAACCAUUAAGCAACUUUGGUAAAACCAAGAAAACAUGAAGCAUUUUAAAAACCAGUCCUUUUUCUUUGGCCCAAUCAUCAUAAGCAAAGGCACUAGGGACAGGACUAGCAAAGUUAAUGAGCAGGAGACUGAGAACAUAGCCAUCUUAAAUGUAGUUUGGGAAGAUGAGCCCCCUGUGGCUGGGAAUGCAAGAGGCUCUGUCCUAAACUAUAUUUCCCAGAAUGAAGGGUUCAGCAUCAGAAAACCCCAAUGAGGGCUGCUGUUUAAGCAGCCAGCUGUUUAGAGUCAGUCUAAUAAUAAUAAAUUAUUGAAUCUACAAAGAGGACUAAAGUAACUAGUGUGCUAAGUUGAAGUUAUGUCAUUGUGUGUCAUAAAGACUGACAGGCAUUCAAGGGGAUUGCUGUUGUCGCUAUUUUGGGGAUAAAUUGUUUUUGUCUAAACUUUUAAAAAUCCCUGUAGAUGUGUGAAUCUUUUUGAAACUUCUAGGGAUUGAUGCCCUGGUUAUCGUGUGUAUUGUGUAUAAAAUUCAAGUAGAUCGCUCUUGUGUUUUUUUUUAAUGUUUAUAAAAACUUUGAACAUUUCAAAAAAACCUGUGGAUAAGUGAUACAUUCUGAAAUUUGGUGGGCUAACAGUGGUAAAUGUGUUCUACCACUGUAGCAAGUUUCACCCCAAUUGCUUUAAAAAUGAGGGAGAUAGAAGCCCCUGAAGUUUCUCCAGUUAUAGUAAUUUAAUUAUGAGCAUGUGCAAUUACUGUAACGAAAUAGCCAUGAAAUUUUGUUACUGUCAUUAUAGUAAUGAUUUUUUUUCACAAACUAUACUUUAGAAACACUUUAGAAACAAAAUGUCAGUGCCCACAGCUUUGUAAUGAUUUUUUAACCAUUUUUUAAAAUGGAUCGUACAUCUCUAAGUGUACUCUUAUUGCAGCAAGCUUAUGGUAUCAACAUUGCAGAUACAGAUUCAUUCUUCCUAAAUGGCAGACAGACAAUUUUAUUUUUUCUUUAAAAAGUCUGAAGUAUAGGUUGAAAUUUGAUGAAAAGAGGGAGGCUUUGAAGGAUUAAAAAGAUACUAAGCAAGUCUAAGAAAAGAGAAGGGACAAGAAAGCUACAGACUAGGUGUUGACAAAUUGUUUCACUGAAACAAGAUACCAUUUCAUAGAAUCAUACAGUCACCAGGGUUUCCACUUAAUGCAGGUAAUUCAACUAGAGCAUCCCCAGCAGGUAGCUGUCUAUCAUCUUUUUGACAACCAGAGAAAAAGGCCCCCAUCAGCUCUCUAGUUAAUUUAUUCCAUUGCUGAACAUCUCUCACUGUCAAGAAGUUUCUUCUAAUGUUCAGUUAAAAUCUACCAUUGUGUAAUUUAAAACCAUUAGACCUGGUCCUACCCUCCAGAGCAGUAGAGAAUAAACCUAUAUUGUCUUCUCUGUGAUAACCCUUGAGAUAUUGAAAGAGUGCAGUCUUGUUAUCCCUCAGUGUUUAAUUCACUAGAAUGAAUAUCUCCAAGUCUUUUCUGUACAUGCUUAUUUGAAUAGCUGCUGGCCUGGACACCUCAGGCAGCUUGCGCAAGAUUCGGAUGUAGCUAUGUGAGCUGAGAUAUAUGGGCAUCCUGGCAGGUCAGCAGUUCAGAGGGUAUUAGUGAAAGCAAGAGUGAUGUCAUGCAGCUUUGGUUCAUCUAUUUAUAGCUCACCACAUAUAGUAUAGGUAAUCACACUUAAGGUGACAGAAUUCAACUAGGUGUUGAACUUUAAGUCCAAGUGAGAUAGCUCUUUAGAAUGUUAUUUAUGGAUAAAAUCCUACUUUCAAUGGCUUGCUUUCCUAUGGAUGUUAUUUUGUUAAAUCUAUUUCUAGGAAGAAAGGACUAAGGUGUUUUCUCUCUCAGCAAUGCCAGCUCUGAAUUGAGGCCAUUUUACAUUGUGAUAUACCAGCACAACUAAAGGGGGAAUAUGAAUGCCAUUUAAAUAUAUAAUUUUAGAGCAUCUUGAAGCACGUCCCUAAUUUCAUAAUCUCAUGUUACUGUGUGCGUCUUGGGGUGCAGCAGUUCUUCUUUUUUUAAAAAAAUAAUAUUUUUUUAUUGAGUUUUCAAGUAAAAUUUACAGUAAGUGUUUAAGAACACAUUGGGUUCUUAGAAGAAAAAGUGCAAUGAGUAAGUAGAAAUUGAAGAAAGAGAGAAGAAAAAGAAAAAAAAAUUAAAAAGAAGAAGAGAAAGAAAAAAAGGAAAGGAAAUUAAAAUAAACAGAAAUAUAAUACAAUUGGUCGCUUCCAUCUCUUACACAGAUACUUAAAAAAAAUUUCUAUCUUUAAUUAGUCUUUCCGUUCGUUCUGCUUUGGUGUCAGCCUCUUUUUUUUAUCUUCCAUCAUUAU
This is a long non-coding RNA of Anolis carolinensis (green anole), 4954 nucleotides long. The record is from Ensembl. Lineage: Eukaryota; Metazoa; Chordata; Lepidosauria; Squamata; Anolidae.